ACACUCCUGCGGGAGGCAGCAGUGGGGAAUAUUGCACAAUGGGCGCAAGCCUGAUGCAGCCAUGCCGCGUGUAUGAAGAAGGCCUUCGGGUUGUAAAGUACUUUCAGCGGGGAGGAAGGCGAUAAGGUUAAUAACCUUGUCGAUUGACGUUACCCGCAGAAGAAGCACCGGCUAACUCCGUGCCAGCAGCCGCGGUAAUACGGAGGGUGCAAGCGUUAAUCGGAAUUACUGGGCGUAAAGCGCACGCAGGCGGUCUGUCAAGUCGGAUGUGAAAUCCCCGGGCUCAACCUGGGAACUGCAUUCGAAACUGGCAGGCUAGAGUCUUGUAGAGGGGGGUAGAAUUCCAGGUGUAGCGGUGAAAUGCGUAGAGAUCUGGAGGAAUACCGGUGGCGAAGGCGGCCCCCUGGACAAAGACUGACGCUCAGGUGCGAAAGCGUGGGGAGCAAACAGGAUUAGAAACCCGUGUAGUCCC
This 472-nucleotide ribosomal RNA is filed under the name uncultured organism. RNAcentral describes it as "partial 16S ribosomal RNA". It matches the Rfam family "Bacterial small subunit ribosomal RNA", at positions 333 to 797 of the family's 1533-position model. The record is from RNAcentral.